UGGAAGUUGGCUACAGCAUGCGCUUUAGAAUUUAAAUAAAAAUUUUACUACAGACAUUCAGCUGAACACAAAAGGAUUUACUGUACCUUCCAACACAACCUGAAGAUAUUCUUUAUAAAGAUAAUUAUCCUGGUGUAUUGUACUAUUGUGUGGAGAUGUUUAAGCAUGUGGUGUUCUAGUUGACAGGAAGAUGUGUCUGCCAAAACCCAUGAGAGGCCUCUGGGGCUAAUGAUGCCGUGUUUGCAUUAACGCUGUGUUACUGUACUCUGCCAAAAGCUAAGCUAUACCUAAACAUGUGAAGGAUGUGCCAACCGCUUACUGACAGAGCUUCAGUCUUUUGUAAAUACCAGAUGUGGUUUGAACAUGUAGUUGAAUGGCUGGCUAUCUGUGUUUUAAAACACUGGACACAUUUUUUUCCUAGGGCUUAGUGAUGUUCUAAACACCCACGCUGUACAUUGAGUUUUGUAUUUCGGUUCGGAUGAACAUAAUUUUUUUUUGGAGGGGGCUUUGUAUCACUCUCUGAUGACCCCAUCCUCGUUCUUUCUACGUGCUAAAACAUUAUGGUCCAGGCCUCAUUAAAAACGCUUAAUUACUGCAAACAAUCACAGCCUUUUAGUUCCACAGUGCUCUGGACCUAUUGCGGAUCAGAAGACCGAAAAUGGCUUGGACUCUAGCAACCUUUUUGAAUGCAAAUUAUCUUAGCAGCCACGUCACCGCAGCCAAGACAAGAGCACAAUAAGUUUAAACUAUUCAUCUUCUUGUUGCCACACAACUCCUGGAAAAUGCAUAAAUCUUUCAGACGCCCCAAUCCAUUUUCAUUCAGUAGUUAUGCAAUGUAUCUGUUUUGACCAAUGUUAAUGUGGUAUUCCUGUUUAUCUUCUUCAGCAAAUAGUGAUGGUUUGGUUUAGCCAGAUCUAAUGCAGUUGGAUGUAUACGAUGGAAGUCCCAGACUUGAAUAAAAUAAUGGAGGUGAA
Molecule: long non-coding RNA, 974 nt
Organism: Rhinichthys klamathensis goyatoka
Lineage: Eukaryota; Metazoa; Chordata; Actinopteri; Cypriniformes; Leuciscidae
Exons: 2
Source: RefSeq, a predicted model, not a curated record